GGGCUACUCCUUCCGUUUCAAAUUACUCGUCGCAGAAAUAGAUGUAUCUAGAAUUAAAAUACAUCUAGAUACAUCUAUACCCGUGACAAGUAAUUUGGAACGGAGGGAGUAGGAU
Non-coding RNA from Triticum aestivum (bread wheat), 115 nucleotides. NCBI's taxonomy places the organism in Eukaryota, Viridiplantae, Streptophyta, Magnoliopsida, Poales, Poaceae. The record is from Rfam.